GAUGAACGCUGGCGGCGUGCCUAAUACAUGCAAGUAGAACGCUGAAGGCAGGAGCUUGCUCUUUCCGGAUGAGUUGCGAACGGGUGAGUAACGCGUAUGUAACCUGCCUGGUAGUGGGGGAUAACUAUUGGAAACGAUAUCUAAUACCGCAUAACAUUCGAUUUUGCAUGAUAGCUACUUAAAAGUUGCAAUUGCACCACUACCUGACGGACCUUCGUGUUAUUAGCUAGUUGGUGAGUUAACGACUCACGAAGGCGAGGUUGCAUAGCCGAACUGAGAGGGUGGUUGGCCACCCUGGGAGGGUGACCCGGCACAGAGGCACACGGGAGGGGCCCGGAGGGAAACGGGGGGCAUGGGCGGAAGACUGACCGCAAAACGCCGCGUGAGUGAAGAAGGAUGUCGGGUCGUAAAGCACUGUCGUAAGGGAGGAAAGAGCGUGAGAGUGGAAAGUUCACACUGUGACGGUAUCUUAUAAAAAAGCACCGGCUAACUACGUG
RNAcentral lists this ribosomal RNA (497 nucleotides) under uncultured bacterium. RNAcentral describes it as "partial 16S ribosomal RNA". It matches the Rfam family "Bacterial small subunit ribosomal RNA", at positions 28 to 507 of the family's 1533-position model. The record is from RNAcentral.